UCCAGGGCUACACACACGCUACAAUGGUAAGGUACAACAGGUUGCCAAGCCGCGAGGCGGAGCCAAAUCCUCUAAAGCCUACCUCAGUUCAGAUUGCAGGCUGCAACUCGCCUGCAUGAAGUUGGAGUUGCUAGUAACCGUAGGUCAGCUAUACUGCGGUGAAUACGGUUCCCGGGGAUU
RNAcentral lists this ribosomal RNA (180 nucleotides) under uncultured Anaerolineaceae bacterium. Its description in RNAcentral is "partial 16S ribosomal RNA". It matches the Rfam family "Bacterial small subunit ribosomal RNA", at positions 1207 to 1378 of the family's 1533-position model. Lineage: Bacteria; Bacillati; Chloroflexota; Anaerolineae; Anaerolineales; Anaerolineaceae. The record is from RNAcentral.